CGGUCGGAGCAUGUGUGGGUAUUCGAGACGCUAAAUGUAGGCACCGACCGGGGACACACUGGGGGCAUAUUAGUGGGUAAACGAUCGUUAUUGUUGGGUUACGAGUUGGAACGCUAGUCGGUAUACGAGCAUGACGCCCCUGAGUGGGCAUGUCGUUUUGGGCUUGCCCUUGACGACGUGAUUGCGUCAACGGUUGGCCUAGGCCAAUCAAGUCGAAAUGACGAUGUGGCUACACAACGUCAUGGAGGCAUGUCCCUAAACGAUGGUUGACCCUAGCAUGAGGAUCUCAGUACGAUGUGGGUUGGUUGGUGUGCUUUGACGCGUGUUGCUUUCGGCCCAAAUCUUUGUUACUUUCGCAUCGUUCGGUGCAUUUUGGGGGCUGUUUUGGCUUUUGGUUGCUUGCUUGGCUUUUUGCCGGGUGGGUGGCUAAUAGUUGGGCGGCUUUCGGGAAUGUCUACCGUAAAGGUGCAUGAGUGGUGUUUGGUUUGUUACGGGUGGUUGGCUGUCUGCUCGCGCAGCAACGUCCACGCGUGCAUACCUCUUCAGUUACGCGGCAAGGCUUAGAUUGUCUUGAGCAUAUUGUGGGUUUCCUGUGUUGCAUACCUAAUCGAUGGUAACGGGUGGGUUUUAUGAUGUCCCUAUUCGUCAUGCGUCGCUCAUGUGACGCGUUCUGAACAUUGAAGCGGUCUUUAUGAUCCAUUUUGUUGUUGUAUUUGCAACAACGAUGUGGCCUAUGAAGCAUUGCUUGGUCUCUUGUAUACAGAACCUAAUGUGGGCAUGGGUCUUAUAUGAUCUUGAAUUUGCCUYUGUUAAGCGUUCUCGCUUCUCCUAAACGAUUGUCUACCAUGUCUCGGCUUGUUCGUGCAUGGUUGGNUACGUCGA
Molecule: unclassified non-coding RNA, 882 nt
Filed under: Leuzea repens
Lineage: Eukaryota; Viridiplantae; Streptophyta; Magnoliopsida; Asterales; Asteraceae
Description: Rhaponticum repens external transcribed spacer
Source: RNAcentral